RNAcentral lists this ribosomal RNA (329 nucleotides) under uncultured eukaryote. RNAcentral's name for it is "partial 18S ribosomal RNA". It matches the Rfam family "Eukaryotic small subunit ribosomal RNA", at positions 1470 to 1796 of the family's 1831-position model. The record is from RNAcentral.
CCCUUAGAUGUUCUGGGCCGCACGCGCGCUACACUGAUGCAUUCAACGAGUCUAAAACCUGCUCUGAUAGGGGUGGGUAAUCUUUUGAAUGUGCAUCGUGAUUGGGAUAGAUGAUUGCAAUUUUUCAUCUUCAACGAGGAAUGCCUAGUAAACGCAAGUCAUCAGCUUGCAUUGAUUACGUCCCUGCCCUUUGUACACACCGCCCGUCGCUCCUACCGAUUGAAUGAUCCGAUGAAUAUCAUGGAUUGAGGAUUAUAGCAGGUUCGCCUGUCUUGAUCUUCGAGAAGUGAAGUAAAUCUUAUCAUUUAGAGGGAGGAGAAGUCGUAACA